GGCGAACGGGUGAGUAAUAUAUCGGAACGUGCCCAGUCGUGGGGGAUAACGUAGCGAAAGUUACGCUAAUACCGCAUACGAUCUAUGGAUGAAAGCGGGGGAUCGCAAGACCUCGCGCGAUUGGAGAGGCCGAUAUCAGAUUAGGUAGUUGGUGGGGUAAAGGCUCACCAAGCCAACGAUCUGUAGCUGGUCUGAGAGGACGACCAGCCACACUGGGACUGAGACACGGCCCAGACUCCUACGGGAGGCAGCAGUGGGGAAUUUUGGACAAUGGGCGCAAGCCUGAUCCAGCCAUUCCGCGUGCAGGACGAAGGCCUUCGGGUUGUAAACUGCUUUUAUACGGAACGAAAAAGCUUCGGUUAAUACCCGGAGUCCAUGACGGUACCGUAAGAAUAAGCACCGGCUAACUACGUGCCAGCAGCCGCGGUAAUACGUAGGGUGCAAGCGUUAAUCGGAAUUACUGGGCGUAAAGCGUGCGCAGGCGGUUAUAUAAGACAGAUGUGAAAUCCCCGGGCUCAACCUGGGAACUGCAUUUGUGACUGUAUAGCUAGAGUACGGCAGAGGGGGAUGGAAUUCCGCGUGUAGCAGUGAAAUGCGUAGAUAUGCGGAGGAACACCGAUGGCGAAGGCAAUCCCCUGGGCCUGUACUGACGCUCAUGCACGAAAGCGUGGGGAGCAAACAGGAUU
RNAcentral lists this ribosomal RNA (686 nucleotides) under uncultured Curvibacter sp. RNAcentral describes it as "bacterial SSU rRNA". It matches the Rfam family "Bacterial small subunit ribosomal RNA", at positions 97 to 779 of the family's 1533-position model. Lineage: Bacteria; Pseudomonadati; Pseudomonadota; Betaproteobacteria; Burkholderiales; Comamonadaceae. The record is from RNAcentral.